RNAcentral lists this ribosomal RNA (110 nucleotides) under marine eukaryotic metagenome. The record is from RNAcentral.
GUGGCAUUAGAGCAUUGGAACCACCCGAUCCCAUACCGAACUCGGAAGUGAAACGAUGCAUCGCCGAUGGUAGUGUGGGGCUUCCCCAUGUGAGAGUAGGUCACCGCCAG